UGAAGUAAGAGGGCCGUCUCCCGGGUGAUGUUGAGCUGCGGGUGAAACUGGGCGUUCCGGCUCUACUGGUCACUUGGGACCGAGCGCAGCAUCUUCAGCCUCUGAUUGGAAUCUUGGACUCGCUUCUGCACUGGGAGUCACUUUGCUAAUGAAAGAGUAACAGGGCAAGAACUCCACUGCUACUGAUGAGGCAUCUGCUGAAUGAUGUAUUAAAGCAGUUAUUUCACCCAAAAAUGCUAACUCUGCUAUUAAUGUGGGCUGGAUAUCACUUACCAUUCUGCAUGAGGUCCUGCUAACUGGUCCCAUUGCUUUUGUCACUGAUAUUAAUUACAUUUACAAAUACGUUUAUGAAGGCAAAUGACGUUUUAAACACUGAUGUCCUUCACAACACCUUAUGUGCAUGUUUCAGACAAAUAGCUUGAAGUUAUGACAACAGCUUAAAAUUAAUUUAAAAUCUACAGCACAGAGAAAACACAGUUUGUCUGGCUAUACCUUGAAAUAGAAUCAAUAAAAUACAUCACAAAUCUUA
Molecule: long non-coding RNA, 529 nt
Organism: Pygocentrus nattereri (red-bellied piranha)
Lineage: Eukaryota; Metazoa; Chordata; Actinopteri; Characiformes; Serrasalmidae
Exons: 3
Source: RefSeq, a predicted model, not a curated record